This 195-nucleotide unclassified non-coding RNA is filed under the name plant metagenome. RNAcentral describes it as "partial contains small subunit ribosomal RNA, internal transcribed spacer 1, and 5.8S ribosomal RNA". The record is from RNAcentral.
UCUCCGUUGGUGAACCAGCGGAGGGAUCAUUACCGAGUUUACAACUCCCAAACCCCUGUGAACAUACCAUUUGUUGCCUCGGCGGUGCCUGCUUCGGCAGCCCGCCAGAGGACCCAAACCCUUGAUUUUAUACAGUAUCUUCUGAGUAAAUGAUUAAACAAAUCAAAACUUUCAACAACGGAUCUCUUGGUUCUG